AUACGUAGGAUCCGAGCAUUAUCCGGAGUGACUGGGCGUAAAGAGUUGCGUAGGUGGAUGUUUAAGUAGAUGGUGAAAUCUGGUGGCUCAACCAUUCAGACUGUUAUCUAAACUGGACAUCUCGAGAGCGUCAGGGGUGACUGGAAUUUCUAGUGUAGGAGUGAAAUCCGUAGAUAUUAGAAGGAACACCGAUAGCGUAGGCAGGUCACUAGGGCGUUUCUGACACUAAGGCACGAAAGCGUAGGGAGCAAACGGGAUUAGAUCCCCCGGUAGUCUACGCCGUAAACGAUGGAUGCUAGCUGUGGGGGGUAUCGACCCCUUCCGUAGCGAAGCUAACGCGUUAAGCAUCCCGCCUGUGUAGUACGAUCGCAAGAUUAAAACUCAAAGGAAUUGGCGGGG
This 399-nucleotide ribosomal RNA is filed under the name uncultured bacterium. Its description in RNAcentral is "partial 16S ribosomal RNA". It matches the Rfam family "Bacterial small subunit ribosomal RNA", at positions 523 to 918 of the family's 1533-position model. The record is from RNAcentral.